This 1986-nucleotide long non-coding RNA is filed under the name Capsella grandiflora. Its description in RNAcentral is "long non-coding RNA (CGRA_LNC001324)". Lineage: Eukaryota; Viridiplantae; Streptophyta; Magnoliopsida; Brassicales; Brassicaceae. The record is from RNAcentral.
AUCUACUUCCACUAUGGUCAAUUUGUGAUUAGCUACGGUGAAGAAGGUCUCCAUGUUAAUGCCAGCAUUUAUCAGCCUUAGUAGGUACGUCUUCCUUGGCAUUAUCUUAAUCUUAUAAACAUCUGAAAUAUAAAGAUAGAAAAAGGUUCUAUGAUCUGUUUUCUCCAUAUAUACCAAUCAUACUAUUGUUCAUCUGAUAUUUACCAUUAGAGGAGCAAUUGUAGUUAGGUCCUGGUUGACCAUUAAUUGUGAAUGCAUCUGCUGGAGGCGGAGGUCCUCCACUCUCCAGUACAUUUUGUUCCAGCUCUACCACGUUCUUAAGCCAAUACUCUCCUAGAUUUAUCAGGAGGAAAACAAAUUCAGUGAAACCACUUAGUGAAAUAGACUAACUUUAUUAAGAAUAAAUAUUACCUAGGAGAAUUGUAUGCUCGUUAAAGGGUUUCUUGAAUGGGUAAGGAACAGAUGAUUUAGGAUAUACAAUAAGCGGACCAUAAACUGUAGCCCUAAGCCAAGAAAAGUGUGCAUGCCAUAAAAAGGUGCCCUUUUGUUGUGCCACUGUGAAGUUGUAUGUGAAACUUUGUCCACUUUGAAUUGGACAUUGUGUGAUAUAAGAUGGACCAUCAUACCAACAUGAUAGUUUUUGCUUAAUACCAUGCCUGGGCAGAGUAGAAACAGGUUUUUAGUAUAGAAUUUGUCUUAUAAGCAUUUAAAUAUUAUGUACAUGAGUAUAUGUAUAUGAGUAUAUCGACAUACCAAUGAAUUGUGGUGUUAUAGGGGGUCAUGUUGAUGACUUCAACGACAAUUCUGUCAUCUUCUUGAGCGGAUAUUGUAGGGCCAGGGAAUUUCCCGUUCACUGUUACAAUCUCUUUUGUUUGGCAUAGCCUUGUGAGUGUAUUUGUUUGUACCUGUUAGAAAAUUCAGUGACACAACAGACCUCUGUUUACCUCUUUUUAGAUAUCUGAAUGCAGUGAAGAUAGACCAAAAAGGCAUGCAUGAAAUGAAAUAUGUGUUCCAUUUUCAUUCAAAAUUUGGAUACUGAGAUAACAUUUACGUUGCUGAUACCUUGAAUUGGUAGAACCUAGUUGCAGCGCUAAUCCUGCUAACAAUCAUUACUUGAAGAGUGAACAAGAAAAAGCUAAACCGGAACAAGGACGGGACAGCUGAAUUGGUCAUCUUGAAUGGAAAGAGACACAGAGUUUUGAGGUUGAAUGGUACUGAUUUAUGCAACUGAAUUUAUAGUGUUUGAAGGCAAAAGAUAGGAAAUAUAAUAUAUAGGUUUGAGAAAAAGUUUCAUGAUUUGGAGAGAGUUGGAAACAGAGACAUUAGUGAUUAUAAGGUGUUGGGAAGGCGUGACUUGUUUCUUGACCCCAGCGUGAGAUUGAAGGUAACACACGAGUUACUCUAAAAGGGUUAAAAAAGGAGAAAUAUACUGUUAAUUAGUGUCUGCACUUUGAUUUUAAAUCAGUAAAAGCUUUAUAUAUUAUGAUGCAGGAUUCUCUACCAAACUUGUGAAACUGCUGACUGAUCUGGACCAACCCAGUUUUCACCAAGACUACCAAGCAACUUUCUUCGUCAGGCUUUAGUGGAACCGACCUGGUGACUAUUUCUUUUGACCUGUCGUCAUAUAUUGGAAUAACAUACGAGUUUUGGGAUUAGCCAGGAUAAGUGAGGUGCAUGAUUCAGCAUCAUUAAGAGAGUGUUUAGUAGGGUCGUGUUGGUAUUUUGAGAGUGUUAAAAGAGAAAGAAACAAGAAAGAGUAAGAAGGGAUCAAGUUUCUUGGUCGGAUGUUUGAAUGGUCUUAAUCCUUUAUUGGUGGCGUCAUCAUCAAAGUUUGUGCACGCCUUAACUUGCCAAAUACUCAUCCUAUUUGAGAUUUUUUUUUUUUUUUUUUUUUUCAGAUUGGAACAUGAUGAUUGAUUCGAAUUUUGACCUACUCAUAUUUUCCAUACUCGAAAGGUAACUGAAUUUAAUGCGUUGCUUUGCAUG